RNAcentral lists this ribosomal RNA (253 nucleotides) under uncultured bacterium. Its description in RNAcentral is "partial 16S ribosomal RNA". It matches the Rfam family "Bacterial small subunit ribosomal RNA", at positions 524 to 776 of the family's 1533-position model. The record is from RNAcentral.
UACAGAGGUCCCAAGCGUUGUUCGGAAUUACUGGGCGUAAAGGGUGCGUAGGCGGCUCGAAAAGUCUGAUGUGAAAUCUCCAAGCUUAACUUGGAAACAGCUUUGGAUACUGUCGAGCUAGAGGUUUUUAGAGGAAGUCGGAAUUCUCGGUGUAGCAGUGAAAUGCGUAGAUAUCGAGAGGAACACCAGUGGCGAAAGCGGACUUCUGGAAAAAAUCUGACGCUAAGGCACGAAAGCUAGGGGAGCAAACGGG